UGUCAGUGGUCUGCCGUUCCUUCUGCAGC
This 29-nucleotide non-coding RNA is filed under the name Mus musculus (house mouse). The record is from RNAcentral. Lineage: Eukaryota; Metazoa; Chordata; Mammalia; Rodentia; Muridae.